UACACUAUAAGGAGAUUAGAUCAUAUUAUAUUUGUUACACGAAAAAGAAGAAAUAGUUAUGACUGAAAUUCUCAAAUUUAUAUUUGUUAUUAUUAUUCUAUUUCUUUCCAUAUCUCUUGUUUCAGCGGAUUUUGAUUUAGUACAUAAUGAUUCAUACGAUUACUUAUAUGAAUUUCAAGAAUGUGAAGUUGAUAACGAUUGUCCACAAGAUCCCUUACCUAUGAAGUGCAUUAAUUACAUUUGUGUUGUUCAUAAUGAAGAACCUUCAGACAAUCUCUAGAGAAUACACAAACUCCAUGAAAGGGAAUAAUAUGUUAUCUCAUUAGAAAAAGAUCUAUACAAUAUAUUUUAGGGAAAUGCUAACUUGUCCAUUAAGGCACAAGUUAAGAAGUUAAAGAUAGAAUUAUUUUUUUGAAAAUUGUGUAUUCUACAUUAGAAAACUUUAAACAUUUAAACUUUCAAUACAAAAUUUAUUUAUUGUU
Molecule: long non-coding RNA, 482 nt
Organism: Medicago truncatula (barrel medic)
Lineage: Eukaryota; Viridiplantae; Streptophyta; Magnoliopsida; Fabales; Fabaceae
Exons: 2
Source: RefSeq, a predicted model, not a curated record